UACGAAGGGGGCUAGCGUUGCUCGGAAUCACUGGGCGUAAAGCGCACGUAGGCGGGUCUUUAAGUCAGGGGUGAAAUCCUGGAGCUCAACUCCAGAACUGCCUUUGAUACUGAGGAUCUCGAGUCCGGGAGAGGUGAGUGGAACUCCGAGUGUAGAGGUGAAAUUCGUAGAUAUUCGCAAGAACACCAGUGGCGAAGGCGGCUCACUGGCCCGAUACUGACGCUGAGGCACGAAAGCGUGGGGAGCAAACAGG
This 253-nucleotide ribosomal RNA is filed under the name uncultured bacterium. RNAcentral describes it as "partial 16S ribosomal RNA". It matches the Rfam family "Bacterial small subunit ribosomal RNA", at positions 524 to 776 of the family's 1533-position model. The record is from RNAcentral.